RNAcentral lists this microRNA precursor (60 nucleotides) under Aedes aegypti (yellow fever mosquito). RNAcentral's name for it is "Aae-Mir-124_pre stem-loop". It matches the Rfam family "mir-124 microRNA precursor family", at positions 13 to 70 of the family's 72-position model. Rfam says of the family: The mature ~21nt miRNAs are processed from hairpin precursor sequences represented here, in this case originating from the 3' arm. The bounds of the precursors are predicted based on conservation and base pairing and are not generally known. Lineage: Eukaryota; Metazoa; Arthropoda; Insecta; Diptera; Culicidae. The record is from RNAcentral.
GUAUCCACUGCCGGCCUAUAUGUCCUAUUUCGGUACUCAUAAGGCACGCGGUGAAUGCCA